UACAGAGGAGCCAAGCGUUGUUCGGAUUUACUGGGCGUAAAGGGCGCGUAGGCGGCCACCGCAAGUCGGUUGUGAAAUCUCCGGGCUUAACCCGGAAAGGUCAACCGAUACUGCGGGGCUAGAGUGCAGAAGGGGCAACUGGAAUUCUCGGUGUAGCGGUGAAAUGCGUAGAUAUCGAGAGGAACACCUGCGGCGAAGGCGGGUUGCUGGGCUGACACUGACGCUGAGGCGCGAAAGCGUGGGGAGCGAACAGG
This 254-nucleotide ribosomal RNA is filed under the name uncultured bacterium. RNAcentral describes it as "partial 16S ribosomal RNA". It matches the Rfam family "Bacterial small subunit ribosomal RNA", at positions 524 to 776 of the family's 1533-position model. The record is from RNAcentral.